Molecule: ribosomal RNA, 898 nt
Filed under: uncultured bacterium
Lineage: Bacteria
Description: bacterial SSU rRNA
Rfam family: Bacterial small subunit ribosomal RNA
Source: RNAcentral
CUUAACCGAAGAAGUGCAUCGGAAACUGGGAAACUUGAGUGCAGAAGAGGACAGUGGAACUCCAUGUGUAGCGGUGAAAUGCGUAGAUAUAUGGAAGAACACCAGUGGCGAAGGCGGCUGUCUGGUCUGUAACUGACGCUGAGGCUCGAAAGCAUGGGUAGCGAACAGGAUUAGAUACCCUGGUAGUCCAUGCCGUAAACGAUGAAUGCUAGGUGUUGGAGGGUUUCCGCCCUUCAGUGCCGCAGCUAACGCAUUAAGCAUUCCGCCUGGGGAGUACGACCGCAAGGUUGAAACUCAAAGGAAUUGACGGGGGCCCGCACAAGCGGUGGAGCAUGUGGUUUAAUUCGACGCAACGCGAAGAACCUUACCAGGUCUUGACAUCCUAUGCCAACCUGAGAGAUCAGGUGUUCCCUUCGGGGACAUAGUGACAGGUGGUGCAUGGUUGUCGUCAGCUCGUGUCGUGAGAUGUUGGGUUAAGUCCCGCAACGAGCGCAACCCUUAUGACUAGUUGCCAGCAUUCAGUUGGGCACUCUAGUAAGACUGCCGGUGACAAACCGGAGGAAGGUGGGGACGACGUCAAAUCAUCAUGCCCCUUAUGACCUGGGCUACACACGUGCUACAAUGGCCGGUACAACGAGUUGCGAACCCGCGAGGGUAAGCUAAUCUCUUAAAGCCGGUCUCAGUUCGGACUGCAGGCUGCAACUCGCCUGCACGAAGUCGGAAUCGCUAGUAAUCGCGGAUCAGCAUGCCGCGGUGAAUACGUUCCCGGGCCUUGUACACACCGCCCGUCACACCAUGAGAGUUUGUAACACCCGAAGCCGGUGGGGUAACCUUUCGAGGAGCUAGCCGUCUAAGGUGGGACAGAUGAUUAGGGUGAAGUCGUAACAAGGUAACCGUA